RNAcentral lists this unclassified non-coding RNA (197 nucleotides) under uncultured Cyphellophora. RNAcentral describes it as "sequence contains ITS1". Lineage: Eukaryota; Fungi; Ascomycota; Eurotiomycetes; Chaetothyriales; Herpotrichiellaceae. The record is from RNAcentral.
CCGAGUUAGGGUCGCCUCCGCGCGCCCGACCUCCAACCCUUUGUCUACCCGACCUUAUUGUUGCUUCGGCAGGCCCGCCGCCCCUCCGGGGGUGGCCGCCGGGGGCUUUACCGCCCCGGGCCCGCGCCUGUCGAUGGCCCCAACCACAAACUCUUGUACUUAAACGUGUCGUCUGAGUUAACAAACAAAAUAAAACA